This 292-nucleotide ribosomal RNA is filed under the name uncultured bacterium. RNAcentral's name for it is "partial 16S ribosomal RNA". The record is from RNAcentral. RNAcentral also lists the same sequence under 2 other names.
GGACUACAAGGGUAUCUAAUCCCGUUCGCUCCCCUGGCUUUCGCGCCUCAGCGUCAGUAGGGACCCAGCGGGCCGCUUUCGCCACCGGCGUUCCUUCCGAUAUCAACGCAUUUCACCGCUCCACCGGAAGUUCCGCCCGCCCCUAUCCCCCUCCAGUCUUCCUGUUUCCGGGGCCCUUUUCCGGUUGGGCCGAAAGAUUUCACCCCGGACGGGGAAGACCGCCUACGCGCCCUUUAAGCCCAGUGAUUCCGAACAACGUUCGCACGGUUCGUCUUACCGCGGCGGCUGGCAC